AGCACACAGGGCAGAGGUCGUGAUAGAAGGCUCGACAGAGAGCCGUCACUACCUGUGCACCUGUGUGCCCA
This 71-nucleotide microRNA precursor is filed under the name Ephydatia muelleri. RNAcentral describes it as "Emu-Mir-2017-P1_pre stem-loop". The record is from RNAcentral. Lineage: Eukaryota; Metazoa; Porifera; Demospongiae; Spongillida; Spongillidae.